AGAGUUUGAUCCUGGCUCAGAGUGAACGCUGGCGGCAUGCCUAACACAUGCAAGUCGAACGGUAACAGGCCCGCAAGGGUGCUGACGAGUGGCGGACGGGUGAGGAAUACAUCGGAAUCUGCCCGGUUGUGGGGGAUAACGUAGGGAAACUUACGCUAAUACCGCAUACGACCGAAAGGUGAAAGCGUGGGAUCCGCAAGGACCUCGCGCAGCCGGAUGAGCCGAUGUCGGAUUAGCUAGUUGGCGGGGUAAAGGCCCACCAAGGCGACGAUCCGUAGCUGGUCUGAGAGGAUGAUCAGCCACACUGGGACUGAGACACGGCCCAGACUCCUACGGGAGGCAGCAGUGGGGAAUAUUGGACAAUGGGGGCAACCCUGAUCCAGCAAUGCCGCGUGUGUGAAGAAGGCCUUCGGGUUGUAAAGCACUUUUAUCCGGAACGAAACGCGCUUGGUCAAUAGCCAGGUGAACUGACGGUACCGGAGGAAUAAGCACCGGCUAACUUCGUGCCAGCAGCCGCGGUAAUACGAAGGGUGCAAGCGUUACUCGGAAUUACUGGGCGUAAAGCGUGCGUAGGUGGUUUGUUAAGUCUGUUGUGAAAGCCCCGGGCUCAACCUGGGAAUGGCAAUGGAUACUGGCAAGCUAGAGUGCGGUAGAGGGUAGUGGAAUUCCCGGUGUAGCGGUGAAAUGCGUAGAGAUCGGGAGGAACACCAGUGGCGAAGGCGGCUACCUGGACCAGCACUGACACUGAGGCACGAAAGCGUGGGGAGCAAACAGGAUUAGAUACCCCCGUAGUCC
Molecule: ribosomal RNA, 795 nt
Filed under: uncultured bacterium
Lineage: Bacteria
Description: bacterial SSU rRNA
Rfam family: Bacterial small subunit ribosomal RNA
Source: RNAcentral